AUUGUUUUUAUUCUUCAGUUUAGAUCAAAAUAUGCAGCUUUAAUUGCCAUUUAGUAAUGCCAUUUAUUCUCUUCAAGGGGACAGGUAGAAUGGCAGUUAUGAAAGCCAGAGGAAAUCAAGAUAUUUGGCUUCUAUGUGAUCUUAGUGUUUAUUAAGAACCUCCACACAGACAAAAGAUGUAAAAGGCCUGAUCCUAGACUGAGGGAAUUCAUGAUAUUGUCUCCAAAUUGUGUGAGAAAAAUUUGUGAUCCAUUCAAGUCCAUUUAUUUGACUUAGCCUCACAGAUACUUCCUCAAUUUUCCCUUCCACCAAGUUAGGAUCAAUAGCAUCUCCUGGGCAUGGAGCUGUCUUGGCAGUCUCUGAUCACUGAGCUUUCUCAGGAAGUACUCUGUCUUUUUGAGCAGAAGGAUUUUUAUAUUAAGGGGAAAGGUGGCUUGUACAUAGCCAUGAAGCAUAAGGAAAGGAGAAAAGCUAAUAUAAAAAUGUAUUGUUGAGAUCACUGCUAGGGCAACAGAGGCUCAAUUCCAUUGACAUGCUGAGAAGUAUACAGAAGGCCUCCCAGAAUUGUUCAACUUAAUGCUCAAAUACAGCACUUCAAUAACAAUUUGAGUGACCUAGGCUUGCAGCUGACAUAGUGUCCAGGUGAUUGCCAGCUAAUCAAAGUGAUGAAAUUUAUCAAUCUGAAAUAAUUCACCUGAAGAUGUACAGCUAUAGUACAUAUUAUGAAAUUAUUGGGAAGGUGCAAAUUAUAUAUUGUGGAAGUGAGUGAUCUAAAUAAAAAACUGCAAAGUAAGUUAACUAAUACAUGAAGCAUUUUAAAUCAAGCAAUUUUAAGAUGUUGAGUGAGAAAUAAACUAUCUAUAAAAAUAAAAGUAAGGGA
Molecule: long non-coding RNA, 880 nt
Organism: Homo sapiens (human)
Lineage: Eukaryota; Metazoa; Chordata; Mammalia; Primates; Hominidae
Exons: 5
Source: RefSeq, a predicted model, not a curated record